This 237-nucleotide unclassified non-coding RNA is filed under the name Hevea brasiliensis (rubber tree). The record is from RNAcentral. Lineage: Eukaryota; Viridiplantae; Streptophyta; Magnoliopsida; Malpighiales; Euphorbiaceae.
CCGACUCCUAUCACAGAGAGCAUGAAAGAGGAUCCUAAGUGGCCCUCUUUUGGACAGCUUAUUAUUGAUCUUUCCAAGCUCGCACUUGAGGCAUUGGCUAGCAUGUUCCUCUUCUUACUCCCUUCAUGNNNCAAAGGCCUCACACCAUUGAAAGAUUCCCUAAGGAUGCCUGAGGAUGAAGUUGAACCCCCAACAGUGCAGAGGCAGAGUAUUCCUGUUCCUUUGUCUGAAACCCGG